GAAAGUUUUAUUCUUGCUUAGCUGUUUACUUUUUGUAUAUUUUACAUGUGAAUUUUUGUGAAUCUAAAAUUUCUUAAAAAGUGUAGGGAUGAAUUUGCAGUAUUUAAUAUUAUUUAUCAAGGGAACUUGGAGUUAGUAAUAUAAUAUGUAGCCGGCUAAAGUCGUGCCAGCCGCCGCGGUUAUACGUAGGGCUAAAGUAAACACUAUUAGUAAUAGAAGUUAAUAGUUU
This 229-nucleotide ribosomal RNA is filed under the name Anonconotus ghilianii. Its description in RNAcentral is "partial small subunit ribosomal RNA". The record is from RNAcentral. Lineage: Eukaryota; Metazoa; Arthropoda; Insecta; Orthoptera; Tettigoniidae.